This 279-nucleotide ribosomal RNA is filed under the name uncultured bacterium. RNAcentral describes it as "partial 16S ribosomal RNA". It matches the Rfam family "Bacterial small subunit ribosomal RNA", at positions 506 to 784 of the family's 1533-position model. The record is from RNAcentral.
UGCCAGCCGCCGCGGUAAUACGGAGGGUGCAAGCGUUACUCGGAAUCACUGGGCGUAAAGAGCGUGUAGGCGGAUAAAUAAGUUGGAAGUGAAAUCCUAUGGCUCAACCAUAGAACUGCUUUCAAAACUGUUUAUCUAGAAUAUGGGAGAGGUAGAUGGAAUUUCUGGUGUAGGGGUAAAAUCCGUAGAGAUCAGAAGGAAUACCGAUUGCGAAGGCGAUCUACUGGAACAUUAUUGACGCUGAGACGCGAAAGCGUGGGGAGCAAACAGGAUUAGAUA